GCUGACUGACAACUGGUUCAGGCUGCUUAUUGGUGAAAUUCAUUCUUGAUUGACAGAGGAUUGUAAGCCUCUGAUUGUCCAAAUAAAAAAAUGAUUGACAGUUACCCCCCCCAUUCAAAGUCUCCAGUCUGCAGAGAUACCCUACUCCAUCUUGAAGGACAUAUCAGUUCCCUAAAAUCCAUGCCUAAAAUGCAUCUCGGAGAGAGGAGAGAUGAGAGAGGAGGCUUGCCAGAGGAGCUAUGAUCGAGGAUGCACAGGUGUAUCCUUUGCAAAAGUCUUUUCAGCAUGUGUAGUCCACAGCUGGAAUAUACAAACCAUGUUGGGAGCUUGUAAAUUGUAUUAAUUAUUUAAGAUGAUCAAAUGCGCGAUCAAACUUUCUGCCCUUCCCUGUUUGUGUAGCGCCUCUGAAGGCUCUGUUCUAACCGCAUUCCUUAAUGACAUUUCACCUUGAUAUUGUGUUUUUAUUGGCUACACCCAAUUUAACUGCUAUAAUCGUGACAUGAUGUUUACAAGUGCCGCGCAUGUGUCAACACUUCGACAUCUUCCUGUGGUUCGCCAAGAUCAAAAAGAACUCACCACUGACUUUUAAAUCACUUUAAGAAUGACUGACCUCAACCCAGGUUGACGUGCUGCAGUAAGCGCAUUGUCUCAUUUCCAGUCACCAGUGUUUGUGUGUUACUAGUAGUGUAUUUUUGCUGCUCUAGCUCAGCACAGUUAAUUUUGAUCGAAUCUUGAUCUCACUGAAGUAGGCCGUCAUCUUUACCUCCAACCAUAGAGGGCAGUGUUGCCAUGGAACUCCUGAGAAAGGCUUUCAAAAGAAAGGACUUUAUAAGGACUAUUAUUGAACUUGAACCAAAUGUUACGUUGUUUGUUUUUGGUUGACUAAUAAUUCUCGCUGCAUACAUAAUAUGGACAUUGUAUUUUUAUUUGUUUUAUUAAGUGUACAUUUUUUACCUCACAUGCUUUUAUUUUGAAGUCUGGAAAAGGAAGUGCAGCAGCACUCUUUGUGUACAUUGGCGCUCUUUUUACGUGAAGCGCCAUUCUGAAUUAACGUUAAGAGAGAAAGGAUAAACCCUUGGGUACUCACUGUACAAAUGUUUGCUUUAAAAAGGUUUCUUUCUACAUCUUAGCUCCUGGCUGAAGGGCACAAGGUCUUCCAAAGCUUGAUGUUUAUUCAUUUUUUUCUGUCCAAGGCCAAAUUGAGUGUGACGAUGGGUGGGUCCUGUGAUGUGUGCUACCUGUGAUUUCCUAUGGUACUGACUGAUCAUGAAAGUCAAUUUGGAAAUGUGUCAUCUGUUGUUAAUGUGUCAGCUGCUGUUACUACUGUAUUUUGGUGUGAGCACCAUCUUUGGGCCAACUUGCACUACUUCAGUUCUUCCUUCAGUCCAUGAGGAGGAACCACAGAGACCCAGCAAACAUUGAGAUGCUGAAUGCUGAAAAUGAAAGUUGUGCCGACGUCUCUCUUUAGAACAAUUCUGAAGGCAAACUUUUCCCAUAUGCGAUCAAAGACAGCUUGGAUAAAGACUUUCUGCUCUUACAGACAGGAAUAUAAUUUACAUGUAGAUAUACAUAAAUGGAACAAACAUGUUUUUUUAUUUUUUUUAAAUGGAGUGGACGUCACAGUGUGGACGUCUCAUCACAACCAUUUCACAACCAAAUGUUAUUGUAUUAAAAAAACAAGACACAUGCAUUUGAUUUUUUCAUAGCAAUAAUUUGAUCAAUAUUUACUGGUUUGUAAGAAAGGGCCUACUCCAACCAUUAUUGGACGUGGACCAUCUGGCCGUCCACCUCAUAACCACGUUGUAGUUUUUGGCGUCUGACUGGGACCAUUUUUGGCCAAGAAGUCGACACCAAUGUCUGGCCAAUGUUUGCUGGGGAGAGAUGGAAAAAUUCUGCACCUCUGAUUGUUGGUGGAAAAAAAGCACAGUAUUUUGAUAAAGUAUAUGUUUCACUGUGUGUGAGAUCCUUACUUUUCCUAGAGGUGUUCUUCCAUUUUAGUGAGUCUUUAACAACCUGUCUACAAUUGUGUCUGUUGAUACAUUACAUCUUUACAGCACAGGGUUAGUAAUCCUGAAGUUUACAUCUGUAGAUCAAAAGCCUGUGGUUGUCAGAUGUGUGAGUUUCACAAGUUAAACUGAACAUACAACCUUACUAUAACCUCCUUUAUAGAUAGUUAUGGUAACUGAUGAAAACGGAUACAACAGCCAAAAAUGACAAUGAAGUUAAAUACAGUGGAUUUUAGGAUAUAAAAAUGCAAGUUAGCUGUGCAAUUACAUAUCCUGCCAUGACUAAUAUGAUACAAAAAAACGACAGUUCAGAUUUUCUUUGGAAUGAAAUACAGUCUAAUCACUGAUUUUUUUAUCAACAUUUAUAUUGCUUUUAAAAUGAAAUGGUAUCUUUUAGCCCAACUAAAUUUAGGUGCUCAGUAAACUUUGAAGUUCAGUGGACACUCCUUAAGGCAACAAGCCACAAACUAUUUAUUGAUAUCUGGUGUUGCGGGAUAACAAAAUAAUUUAGACCUUUUGGGGGGUAUUAGUUGUAAUGAACAGUGGUAACAGUUGGCCCUGUGUUUCCAGUGUAAUGUGUGAAAUCAAUGAUAUAAUACUAUUUUAUUAUUUUAUAAUUGCUGUAUUAUCACCAUUUUUUAAUAAAUUCACUUUUACUAAU
Long non-coding RNA from Siniperca chuatsi (mandarin fish), 2667 nucleotides. RefSeq lists it as uncharacterized. The record is from RefSeq and is a predicted model, not a curated record. NCBI's taxonomy places the organism in Eukaryota, Metazoa, Chordata, Actinopteri, Centrarchiformes, Sinipercidae. The transcript has 3 exons.